UUCAAAGUGUCCGGAUUGGACAACCCGGCGAACAACUCCCAAAGUGUGUAGGAAUUACAAAAGGAAAGAUGUCACCGCCUGGAGAGAGAGACAGCGCAGGCUUAACUUCAACUAGAGUGAUGAAUUCCUGAUGAUCUCCACUCAGACUCACAGCAGAGUGUAACGACAACAGAGGGACUUGGAUACCAAACAAGACAAGAAAAGGCACCAACUAGAUGUUGAACAUUAUCAGAUGAGGUCCUUUGAAUGACAAGGUCUUCCUGAGACAUCAAGUAUGCUCUCUGGCUAUAGCAUAACCAAGAUGUAUCAUUUAAUAUCUUCUUUGGAC
Molecule: long non-coding RNA, 328 nt
Organism: Pogoniulus pusillus (Red-fronted tinkerbird)
Lineage: Eukaryota; Metazoa; Chordata; Aves; Piciformes; Lybiidae
Exons: 3
Source: RefSeq, a predicted model, not a curated record